GGCGUGCCUAACACAUGCAAGUCGAGCGGAAAUUUCAAGAAGUACUUGUACGGACAGAAAUUUUAGCGGCGGACGGGUGAGUAACACGUGAGCAAUCUGCCUUUUGCUGGGGAAUAACAUUGUGAAAACAGUGCUAAUACCGCAUGGCAUCCGACCGGGGCAUCCCGGACGGAUCAAAGGAGAAAUCCGGCAGAAGAUGAGCUCGCGUCCGAUUAGCUAGUUGGUGAGGUAAUGGCUCACCAAGGCGACGAUCGGUAGCCGAACUGAGAGGUUGAUCGGCCACAUUGGGACUGAGACACGGCCCAGACUCCUACGGGAGGCAGCAGUGGGGAAUAUUGGGCAAUGGGGGAAACCCUGACCCAGCAACGCCGCGUGAAGGAUGAAGGCUUUCGGGUUGUAAACUUCUUUGAUCAGGGACGAAAAAAAUGACGGUACCUGAAAAACAAGCCACGGCUAACUACGUGCCAGCAGCCGCGGUAAUACGUAGGUGGCAAGCGUUAUCCGGAUUUUACUGGGUGUAAAGGGGCGUGUAGGCGGGUCUGCAAGUCGGAUGUGAAAUUCCCGGGCUUAACUCGGGCGGG
RNAcentral lists this ribosomal RNA (581 nucleotides) under uncultured Acetivibrio sp. RNAcentral's name for it is "bacterial SSU rRNA". It matches the Rfam family "Bacterial small subunit ribosomal RNA", at positions 41 to 622 of the family's 1533-position model. Lineage: Bacteria; Bacillati; Bacillota; Clostridia; Acetivibrionales; Acetivibrionaceae. The record is from RNAcentral.